AGAAUCAACGCUGGCGGCGUGCCUAACACAUGCAAGUCGAACGAGAAAGUGGAGCGAAUCCAUGAGUAAAGUGGCGCACGGGUGAGUAACACGUGACUAACCUACCCUUGAGUGGGGGAUAACCUAGGGAACCUGGGCUAAUACCGCAUAAUAUCGAGAGAUCAAAGGAGCAAUUCGCUUAAGGAGGGGUCGCGGCUGAUUAGCUAGUUGGUGAGGUAAUGGCUCACCAAGGCUAUGAUCAGUA
RNAcentral lists this ribosomal RNA (244 nucleotides) under uncultured bacterium. Its description in RNAcentral is "partial small subunit ribosomal RNA". It matches the Rfam family "Bacterial small subunit ribosomal RNA", at positions 26 to 285 of the family's 1533-position model. The record is from RNAcentral.